AUUGAACGCUGGCGGCAUGCCUUACACAUGCAAGUCGAACGGCAGCACGGGUGCUUGCACCUGGUGGCGAGUGGCGAACGGGUGAGUAAUACAUCGGAACAUGUCCUGUAGUGGGGGAUAGCCCGGCGAAAGCCGGAUUAAUACCGCAUACGAUCUACGGAUGAAAGCGGGGGACCUUCGGGCCUCGCGCUAUAGGGCUGGCCGAUGGCUGAUUAGCUAGUUGGUGGGGUAAAGGCCUACCAAGGCGACGAUCAGUAGCUGGUCUGAGAGGACGACCAGCCACACUGGGACUGAGACACGGCCCAGACUCCUACGGGAGGCAGCAGUGGGGAAUUUUGGACAAAGGGCGAAAGCCUGAUCCAGCAAUGCCGCGUGUGUGAAGAAGGCCUUCGGGUUGUAAAGCACUUUUGUCCGGAAAGAAAUCCUUGGCCCUAAUACGGUCGGGGGAUGACGGUACCGGAAGAAUAAGCACCGGCUAACUACGUG
This 486-nucleotide ribosomal RNA is filed under the name uncultured bacterium. Its description in RNAcentral is "partial 16S ribosomal RNA". It matches the Rfam family "Bacterial small subunit ribosomal RNA", at positions 30 to 507 of the family's 1533-position model. The record is from RNAcentral.